GAUGAAGAACGUAGCGAAAUGCGAUAAGUAAUGUGAAUUGCAGAAUUCCGUGAAUCAUCGAAUCUUUGAACGCACAUUGCGCCCUCUGGUAUUCCGGGGGGCAUGCCUGUCCGAGCGUCAUUUGCAACCCUCAAGCCCGGCUUGUGUGAUGGGUGCCGUCCCCUACGGGACGCGCCCCGAAGGCAAUGGCGGCGUCGCGGUUAUCCGAUCAGCCAAAGUGUAUGGGGCUUUGUCACUCACUUUACGGCCCGGACCGGCGCCAGUCCGAAUCAAUCUUUUUUCUAAAGUUGACCUCGGAUCAGGUAGGGAUACCCGCUGAACUUAAGCAUAUCAAUAAGCGGAGGAA
This 346-nucleotide unclassified non-coding RNA is filed under the name soil metagenome. RNAcentral describes it as "partial contains 5.8S ribosomal RNA, internal transcribed spacer 2, and large subunit ribosomal RNA". The stretch from base 1 to 120 matches the Rfam family "5.8S ribosomal RNA", at positions 35 to 154 of the family's 154-position model. The record is from RNAcentral.